UCCUGCCCAGCGCUGAAUCACUCGGUCUUAGGCCGCUGUGAUCUGUAGCGUAUAGGUGUGAUCUUCUAGUAUGCUGCUAGUCCGAAGUCCCUCUGAUAGGGGCCACAGUCCUGAGAGUGUGCGAGACCUGUACGGACGGCGGUGUUACUGGUAUCUUCAUUCCUUGGAGUCGGGUUGCUUGAAAGUGCAGCCUAAAGUUGGUGAUAAACUUCAUCAAUUGCUAAAUAUAGAUGCGAAUUCGAUAGCAAACAAGUACCGUGAGGGAAAGUUGCAAAGAACUUUGAAGAGAGAGUUCAAGAGAACGUGAAAUCCUGCUGGUUGAAGCGGAGAGAGUUGACGUAGCUCGGUGGGCUAAGCAUUACUCCUGGUGGGUUCGUUCUGCAAGGAUUGUGUGGCGUCUGCUUAUAGCUGCGCUGGCAGCGUUGUCCGAGUUCUCUGACUCGUCUAGUGUUGCCCACUUCGGUGGUGUCUUGCUGGCGGUGAGGUUUACCGUGUUAACGUAUAGCUUGCCUUACGGCGAGUGCCAGUGUGAAGGUCAGCCACCUUUCCGUCCCGUCUUGAAACACGGACCGAGGAGUGUAACUUAUACGCGAGUCAGAGGGUGGACCACCCAACGGCGCAAUGAAAGUAAAGGUCGGUUUACCGGCUGACAUGGGAUCCGUUCGUUAGAGCGGCGCUCCAUGGCCCUGUCUUGAGAGCG
RNAcentral lists this ribosomal RNA (700 nucleotides) under Oscheius sp. RNAcentral's name for it is "partial large subunit ribosomal RNA". It matches the Rfam family "Eukaryotic large subunit ribosomal RNA", at positions 103 to 779 of the family's 3401-position model. Lineage: Eukaryota; Metazoa; Nematoda; Chromadorea; Rhabditida; Rhabditidae. The record is from RNAcentral.